RNAcentral lists this non-coding RNA (99 nucleotides) under Indolivaga alginatilytica. The record is from RNAcentral. Lineage: Bacteria; Pseudomonadati; Bacteroidota; Bacteroidia; Bacteroidales; Dysgonomonadaceae.
GAGAGCUGUAUACGCAGGAAUGUGUACGUACGGUUCGGAGGCGAGUACUUGGAAACCUACCACUGUCAAAGGUGGCAAGGCGUUGGGUGCUUAGCCUAU